Small nuclear RNA from Cricetulus griseus (Chinese hamster), 110 nucleotides. Lineage: Eukaryota; Metazoa; Chordata; Mammalia; Rodentia; Cricetidae. The record is from Ensembl.
GUGCUCACUUCAGCACCACAUGUACUAAAACCCUGUCACCAUACAGACAGAAGAUUAGCAUGACCCUUGUGCAAGAUGACACACAAAUUUAUGAAGUGUUCCAUAUUUUU